This 468-nucleotide ribosomal RNA is filed under the name uncultured bacterium. Its description in RNAcentral is "bacterial SSU rRNA". It matches the Rfam family "Bacterial small subunit ribosomal RNA", at positions 355 to 825 of the family's 1533-position model. The record is from RNAcentral.
UAAGGAAUAUUGGUCAAUGGAGGCAACUCUGAACCAGCCAUGCCGCGUGCAGGAAGAAGGCCCUGUGGGUCGUAAACUGCUUUUUGAACAAGAGAAAACCCCGGUACGUGUACUGGGUUGAUAGUAUUGUUAGAAUAAGCAUCGGCUAACUUCGUGCCAGCAGCCGCGGUAAGACGAAGGAUGCAAGCGUUAUCCGGAUUCAUUGGGUUUAAAGGGUGCGUAGGCGGACUGAUAAGUCAGUGGUGAAAUCUCUCGGCUUAACCGAGAAACUGCCAUUGAUACUGUUAGUCUAGAGUACAGAUGAUGUGGGCGGAAUAUGACAUGUAGUGGUGAAAUACUUAGAUAUGUCAUAGAACACCGAUUGCGAAGGCAGCUCACAAAACUGUAACUGACGCUGAGGCACGAAAGUGCGGGGAUCAAACAGGAUUAGAUACCCAUGUAGUCCCUGAGCGGGCUGGCAAGGCGCAU